GUCAACUACCCCGCCCUAAAGGACGGAGCUUGUCAAACUAGGUUGACCAGACUCAGAUGCUCGCAAGAGCAGCUACGCUGACCAGAGGUCGUUAAGACUUACCCGUGGAUGCUUCCUGAGUCCACUGCUCUAAAAGGUUAGAAUUACGCUGGGGAAAGGUAAAGCCCCGAAAGUUUUAACCGCUACUAGCCAUAGUAGGAGCCGCUGGUAAGCUUUGUCGAAGGGAGAUGGC
Non-coding RNA from Thioploca ingrica, 232 nucleotides. It matches the Rfam family "HNH endonuclease-associated RNA and ORF (HEARO) RNA". Lineage: Bacteria; Pseudomonadati; Pseudomonadota; Gammaproteobacteria; Thiotrichales; Thiotrichaceae. The record is from Rfam.